This is a non-coding RNA of Pelobates cultripes (western spadefoot toad), 202 nucleotides long. The record is from the annotation of a GenBank genome assembly. Lineage: Eukaryota; Metazoa; Chordata; Amphibia; Anura; Pelobatidae.
UCUCACGCAACUCAUUAGGGACAACCCAAACAUACACGGCAUUAUGAGACAAGGCAAGGAACAUAAACUCACACUUUUCGCAGACGACAUCCUCUUGACACUCGAGCAACCACACAUAUCCCUACCUAACUUCCACGAUACGCUCACCCAAUAUAGCAAGUGCUCCUAUUAUAAACUUAAUAUAAAUAAAACUCAAGCAAUG